GGAAGGCAUAUCAAGGGCAAAUUGAGCUAUGGGUCUUUGACCGAUGUUUCUGGGAUUCAAGUGAAGAAGCUCUUCGCGUGGCUCCCUAUUACUGGAAUCAAGGUUAAUAAAGGCUCUGAUUCCAUUGAGUUUGCGGUUGGGUUCUUGUCUGAGACUUUGCCGGCCGACCUGUUCCACAGCAUUCCUGCAUGUAGAAGGAAGGCUUGCCUAGAAGGAAAAACAGAGGCAAUGUGAGGUGGAAAUAAUAGCUUUCCAAAGUCGUUU
Molecule: unclassified non-coding RNA, 264 nt
Filed under: Hevea brasiliensis (rubber tree)
Lineage: Eukaryota; Viridiplantae; Streptophyta; Magnoliopsida; Malpighiales; Euphorbiaceae
Source: RNAcentral